Molecule: ribosomal RNA, 1269 nt
Filed under: metagenome
Description: SSU rRNA
Rfam family: Eukaryotic small subunit ribosomal RNA
Source: RNAcentral
UCUGGUUGAUCCUGCCAGUAAUAUAUGCUUGUCUCAAAGAUUAAUCCAUGCAUGUCUAAGUAUAAAUAGUAUACCUUAAAACUGCAAAUGGCUCAUUAAAACAGUUAUAGUUUAUUUGAUAAUCAAACGCUACAUGGAUAACCGUGGUAAUUCUAGAGCUAAUACAUGCUGAUAACCCGGCGCAAGUCGCGGUUGUAUUUAUUAGAUAUUAAACCAAUAUGUUAAUAGCAUUUUGAAGGAAUUACAGUAACUGAUCGAAUCCUUGCUUGUCGAGGAUAAAUCAUUCAAGUUUCUGCCCUAUCAGCUUUCGAUGGUAGUGUAUUGGACUACCAUGGCGAUUACGGGUAACGGAGAAUUAGUGUUCGGUUCCGGAGAGGGAGCCUGAGAAACGGCUACCACAUCUAAGGAAGGCAGCAGGAGCGUAAAUUACCCAAUGUCGACUCGAUGAGCGUAGUGACAAUACAUAACAAAGAGGGGAUUUUUUAUCUUACUCUAUUGCAAUGAGGCAUGUUUAAUAACCUGUUCGAGCAACCAGUGAAGGGCAAGUCUGGUGCCAGCAGCCGCGGUAAUUCCAGCUUCACGAGUGUAUAUUUAAGUUGUUGCAGUUAAAAAGCUCGUAGUUGAACUUCUGUUUGUUCAGGAGGCGUGCAAGCGCAGCCUGGGCGAACAUCCGCCUGAAAAAUCAUUCGGGUCUUCACUGAUUCAGUGAUGGAUCAGGCAUUUUACUUUGAAAAAAUUAGAGUGUUCAAAGCAGGCUUCCGCCUGAAUACAUUAGCAUGGAAUAAUAGAAUAGGACGCUGUUCAAUUUGUUGGUUAUUGAAUUGCGUAAUGAUUAAUAGGGACAGUUGGGGGCAUUUGUAUUUAAUUGUCAGAGGUGAAAUUCUUGGAUUUAUUAAAGACAAACUUAUGCGAAAGCAUUUGCCAAGGAUGUUUUCAUUAAUCAAGAACGAAAGUUAGAGGAUCAAAGACGAUCAGAUACCGUCCUAGUUUUAACUAUAAACUAUGCCGACUCGGUCUCAGUCAAGUCUUCCUAACUUGAUUGGUGCCGUAUGAGAAAUCAAAGUCUUUGGGUUCCGGGGGGAGUAUGGUCGCAAGGUUGAAACUUAAAGGAAUAGACGGAACAUCACUACCAGGUGUGGAUCCUGCGGCUUAAUUUGACCCAACACGGGGUAACUUACCAGCGCAAAACAAGGGUGGAUUGACAGAUUGAGAGCUCUUUCUUGAUUCUUUGGAUAGUGGUGCAUGGCCGUUCUUAGUUGGUGGAGUGAU